UUUAGCGGCGUACAUUUAAAGACACACUAACUAUCUCAACAUUUCUCAAUAUGCUUAAGCUAUCUCAACGUAGCAAAAUCAUAGAAGGUAUCCCCAUUUCAUUACCAAGAUUUUUUUUUAGAAAGAUAUCCUCUCUACCUUUGUUAUUUUGUAUGUACAUCAACAACAAACAGGAUCAAACAAAAUUAUCAAAAUGUACAUGGUCAGCAAAUCAUUCCAUUUAUUACUUUUUCCAUCGAUGGAAUUUCAUUCAAAAGUUACAUCACCGUAGAAAUAUUUCCCUUUGCCCCUGCCAUAGAAAACUUACGCCGAAGUAUCGAUCAUAAAGGUAUGUAUGAGCGUUGUGGUAGGCAGAGGUCUGAACAGCAGCUUGUGGAAGAUCUCGUGACGCCGGCGAGAGUGACUACAAAUAUUGACAAAAAACACAUCACCUAGCAUUUCACCGAACAAAAGAGCAUGUACAUUGUACUUGAUUAAGAAAAUAAAUAAUUGUGUAAAGGUAUCCCUUGGAAUGAGUCCUUUGUCAGUGAAGAAUCUUGGACAUAUCAGAACAUUGAGGGAACAAGCAUUACUUACUUGCUCUAAUGUUUCCUCGUCUGUACUGUCCUGGCAAACAAUGCAUUGAUCACUCCAGCUCAAAUCCUAGAAAAAUAUAAAGAGAGAAACUAAAUUCAACAGUGUACAGGAGCAGAGAAU
Molecule: long non-coding RNA, 696 nt
Filed under: Triticum aestivum (bread wheat)
Lineage: Eukaryota; Viridiplantae; Streptophyta; Magnoliopsida; Poales; Poaceae
Description: long non-coding RNA (TAES_LNC012230)
Source: RNAcentral